This 25-nucleotide microRNA is filed under the name Drosophila ananassae. RNAcentral's name for it is "Dan-Mir-2-P2b1_5p* (star (passenger))". The record is from RNAcentral. Lineage: Eukaryota; Metazoa; Arthropoda; Insecta; Diptera; Drosophilidae.
UCGUUAAAAGGCUUGUGACCUUAUG